Molecule: ribosomal RNA, 322 nt
Filed under: Aspergillus fumigatus
Lineage: Eukaryota; Fungi; Ascomycota; Eurotiomycetes; Eurotiales; Aspergillaceae
Description: LSU rRNA
Rfam family: Eukaryotic large subunit ribosomal RNA
Source: RNAcentral
AGACCGAUAGCGAACAAGUAGAGUGAUCGAAAGAUGAAAAGCACUUUGAAAAGAGAGUUAAACAGCACGUGAAAUUGUUGAAAGGGAAGCGUUUGCGACCAGACUCGCCCGCGGGGUUCAGCCGGCAUUCGUGCCGGUGUACUUCCCCGUGGGCGGGCCAGCGUCGGUUUGGGCGGCCGGUCAAAGGCCCUCGGAAUGUAUCACCUCUCGGGGUGUCUUAUAGCCGAGGGUGCAAUGCGGCCUGCCUGGAACCGAGGAACGCGCUUCGGCUCGGACGCUGGCGUAAUGGUCGUAAAUGACCCGUCUUGAAACACGGACCAAG